Molecule: small nucleolar RNA, 130 nt
Organism: Arvicola amphibius (Eurasian water vole)
Lineage: Eukaryota; Metazoa; Chordata; Mammalia; Rodentia; Cricetidae
Product: small nucleolar RNA SNORA24
Exons: 1
Source: RefSeq, a predicted model, not a curated record
AUCCAUGUGUCUUUGGGAUCUGCCGACUAUGGCAGUCUCCCUUCCUAGGCAUGGAAGAGCAUGUACUUGUUAUUGGCAAAGCUGUCACCAUUUAAUUGUGAUCAGAUUCUGACUUGAGCAAGUGACAUUC